This 443-nucleotide ribosomal RNA is filed under the name uncultured bacterium. RNAcentral's name for it is "partial 16S ribosomal RNA". It matches the Rfam family "Bacterial small subunit ribosomal RNA", at positions 338 to 795 of the family's 1533-position model. The record is from RNAcentral.
CCUACGGGAGGCAGCAGUGGGGAAUAUUGGACAAUGGGGGGAACCCUGAUCCAGCGACGCCGCGUGAGUGAAGAAGUAUUUCGUUAUGUAAAGCUCUAUCAGCAGGGAAGAAAGACAUGACGGUACCUGACUACGAAGCCCCGGCUAACUACGUGCCAGCAGCCGCGGUAAUACGUAGGGGGCAAGCGUUAUCCGGAUUUACUGGGUGUAAAGGGAGCGUAGACGGCGAUGCAAGUCUGAAGUGAAAGGCGGGGGCCCAACCCCCGGACUGCUUUGGAAACUGUAUGGCUGGAGUGCAGGAGAGGUAAGUGGAAUUCCUAGUGUAGCGGUGAAAUGCGUAGAUAUUAGGAGGAACACCAGUGGCGAAGGCGGCUUACUGGACUGUAACUGACGUUGAGGCUCGAAAGCGUGGGGAGCAAACAGGAUUAGAUACCCCUGUAGUC